GCCUCUCGAGGAGGGGAUUACCGUUUAGGAAACGAACGUUAACUACCCCAUAACGUAUCUUGAUCGCAUGGUCUUGAUACCAAAGAUUUAUCGCUGAGAGAUGGCCUCGCGUCUGAUUAGAUAGUUGGUGAGGUAACGGCCCACCAAGUCUGCGAUCAGUAGCCGGACUGAGAGGUUGAUCGGCCACAUUGGGACUGAGACACGGCCCAGACUCCUACGGGAGGCAGCAGUGGGGGAUAUUGCACGAUGGGCGAAAGCCUGAUGCAGCGACGCCGCGUGAGGGAAGACGGUUUUCGGAUUGUAAACCUCUGUCUUCGGGGACGAAAAUGACGGUACCCGAGGAGGAAGCCACGGCUAACUACGUG
Molecule: ribosomal RNA, 365 nt
Filed under: uncultured bacterium
Lineage: Bacteria
Description: bacterial SSU rRNA
Rfam family: Bacterial small subunit ribosomal RNA
Source: RNAcentral